RNAcentral lists this ribosomal RNA (253 nucleotides) under uncultured bacterium. Its description in RNAcentral is "partial 16S ribosomal RNA". It matches the Rfam family "Bacterial small subunit ribosomal RNA", at positions 524 to 776 of the family's 1533-position model. The record is from RNAcentral.
UACGUAGGCAGCGAGCGUUGUUCGGAGUUACUGGGCGUAAAGAGUGCGUAGGCGGUUUUCUAAGUUUGGUGUGAAAUCUCCCGGCUUAACUGGGAGGGUGCGCCGAAGACUGCGGUGCUUGAGGAUCGGAGAGGAAAGUGGAAUUUCUGGUGUAGCGGUGAAAUGCGUAGAUAUCAGAAGGAACACCUGUGGUGUAGACGGCUUUCUGGACGAUUCCUGACGCUGAGACACGAAAGCGUGGGUAGCAAACAGG